This 31-nucleotide non-coding RNA is filed under the name Macaca fascicularis (crab-eating macaque). The record is from RNAcentral. Lineage: Eukaryota; Metazoa; Chordata; Mammalia; Primates; Cercopithecidae. RNAcentral also lists the same sequence under 1 other name.
UGAAAUGUGCUAGCAGCUCCUGUCUCAAAUC